UGGGGAAUAUUGGACAAUGGGCGCAAGCCUGAUCCAGCCAUGCCGCGUGAGUGAUGAAGGCCUUAGGGUUGUAAAGCUCUUUUAGUGGGGAAGAUAAUGACGGUACCCACAGAAAAAGCCCCGGCUAACUUCGUGCCAGCAGCCGCGGUAAUACGAAGGGGGCUAGCGUUGUUCGGAUUUACUGGGCGUAAAGCGCACGUAGGCGGAUCGUUAAGUCGGGGGUGAAAUCCUGGAGCUCAACUCCAGAACUGCCUUCGAUACUGGCGAUCUCGAGUCCGGAAGAGGUGAGUGGAACUCCUAGUGUAGAGGUGGAAUUCGUAGAUAUUAGGAAGAACACCAGUGGCGAAGGCGGCUCACUGGUCCGGUACUGACGCUGAGGUGCGAAAGCGUGGGGAGCAAACA
Molecule: ribosomal RNA, 402 nt
Filed under: uncultured Devosia sp.
Lineage: Bacteria; Pseudomonadati; Pseudomonadota; Alphaproteobacteria; Hyphomicrobiales; Devosiaceae
Description: bacterial SSU rRNA
Rfam family: Bacterial small subunit ribosomal RNA
Source: RNAcentral